Hypomesus transpacificus is the source of this 920-nucleotide long non-coding RNA. RefSeq lists it as uncharacterized. NCBI's taxonomy places the organism in Eukaryota, Metazoa, Chordata, Actinopteri, Osmeriformes, Osmeridae. The transcript has 3 exons. The record is from RefSeq and is a predicted model, not a curated record.
GUGCGCGGAAGGAUACGCUCCGAGACACACCCCUUUUGGGAAGAAAGACGGGAGACCGCGGUCCGAGUUCUUUUGUAGAUUUUACAACAAAAGAGAAUAAAAUUGUAUGCCACAACUGUACAAUAUAUGAACGACAUAGCGUACUUUAUGUUUAAAGGGAUUAGACAAAAAUGCAUGCCUGUUGAGCACUGAGCGAUCGGCAGGGAGUAAUUGGGCGACCAGGUCACUGGAGCCCUACGGGGCCGCAGGACUACAAAGGCUAUUACAAUUUAGGGUAUAAACGGGUUAUUAACAGAUAUGCCUAAAGAUAGCCAUACGUGGUGCGAGAAGAGGCGCGAGGCAAGGCGCGAGGCAACCCGCCGUGCACGAGCAGCAGAGACAGACGAAGCACGAAACGCACGCCUAGCUAAGAAUCGGAUGAGCUUGAGCCGUGCGCGAGCCGAGGAGACCCCAGAGCAACGAGCGGAGCGUCGGGCAACACACGCCGUGCGCCGUCGGCAAGCAAGAGCCAAGGAAACACCGGAGAUGCGAACAGAGCGUCGGGCAAGGGACGCCAUGCGCAUGCGGGAAGUUAGGGCAAAGGAAACACCAGAGAUGCGAGCGGAGCGUCGAGCAAGGAAUGCCUUGCGCUGUCGGGAAGCGAGGGCAAAGGAAACACCGGAGAUGCGAGCGGACCGUCGGGCAAGAGACACCAUGCAACAUCAGGAUAUGAGGGCAGAGGACCUGUCGGAGAUGCAAGUGGAGCCGACUAGUGCCGGCACUAGUUUAAACAAUAUAGACAUUUAUACCUAAAUGCAGAUGUUUUGGUUUACUCACAAUUCACAUUUGAAUUGCGUAUUUAUUUAGUUGUUUUUCUACAGUUUCACUAUUGAUUUAUGAAUGCAUACAAUUGCAUCUUAUUAAAGGCACAACUAAGAUGA